Molecule: ribosomal RNA, 253 nt
Filed under: uncultured bacterium
Lineage: Bacteria
Description: partial 16S ribosomal RNA
Rfam family: Bacterial small subunit ribosomal RNA
Source: RNAcentral
UACGUAGGGUGCGAGCGUUGUCCGGAAUUAUUGGGCGUAAAGAGCUCGUAGGCGGUUUGUCGCGUCUGCUGUGAAAUCUGGAGGCUCAACCUCCAGCCUGCAGUGGGUACGGGCAGACUAGAGUGCGGUAGGGGAGAAUGGAAUUCCUGGUGUAGCGGUGGAAUGCGCAGAUAUCAGGAGGAACACCGAUGGCGAAGGCAGUUCUCUGGGCCGUAACUGACGCUGAGGAGCGAAAGCGUGGGGAGCGAACAGG